Long non-coding RNA from Ostrea edulis (European flat oyster), 552 nucleotides. RefSeq lists it as uncharacterized. Lineage: Eukaryota; Metazoa; Mollusca; Bivalvia; Ostreida; Ostreidae. The record is from RefSeq and is a predicted model, not a curated record. The transcript has 2 exons.
CUGUACGCGUAAUUCAUUUCAGGAACUAAAUGUUGAACAUGUUGAAUCAAUACGACAAUGCUAAUACAAUGCUUACUUUGUUAAAAUCAGGCAACUCCGGAUUUGGAAAUUAUAACAGCGGACUGAAUAGCUGGUUUCUGAGGAGUUUGGGGGGUUUCGGGGGUUUUGGAGGAGGAUUCGGAGGGUCAGAAGCUGGCGAUGCCGGUGACAUUAUUGAAAAGCAGCAAGCCAACCAAAGAAAAAAUAUGUUCAGAGGCGGAUCAUUUGGAAAUUCUUGGGGCAGCAGCGGGUAUUAUCCUUUCUUAGAUCCACAUGGUUUUUUUCCCUUUGAUGCCUGAUGACCUAGAAAUCCUCCACCUGUAUGGUACUGUGACAGUGUGUAUCCUACUCUGGUACUUUGUGAUAUAUGUAUCGACCUGCACUUUUAAAAAGGCAUUUCUAUCAUGCAUUAUGAUCAUCUGUGAUGCCAGGAAAAAACUGUUCACCCGAGCAACACUGCACCCCAGUAUAUUCUGUUUGGCAAAGAUUUAUGAAAUAAAGAUGGAAGCUUGA